GUGCUCGCUUUGGCAGCACAUAUACUAAAAUUGGAAUGAUACAGAGAAGAUUAGCAUGGCCCCUUCGCGAGGAUGACACACAAAUUCGUGAAGCGUUCCAUAUUUUU
This 107-nucleotide small nuclear RNA is filed under the name Ovis aries (sheep). The record is from RNAcentral. Lineage: Eukaryota; Metazoa; Chordata; Mammalia; Artiodactyla; Bovidae.